Molecule: long non-coding RNA, 328 nt
Organism: Daphnia magna
Lineage: Eukaryota; Metazoa; Arthropoda; Branchiopoda; Diplostraca; Daphniidae
Exons: 3
Source: RefSeq, a predicted model, not a curated record
AAGAAUUCUUAAAGUACAAGCAAAAUUUGGCGGCAGACGACGUAAACGGAAGAAUCCUUGCUGGUUUGAUUGAGAAAAUGAUUCAAUUUAAAGAAGAAGAAAGAAUCGGAUUGCCUGAGGUCAUAAAACAACUUGCCGCUGUAUUGUACGGGAUGGACAAAAUCAAAUGUCAAUUGAGGCUCGUUGCUGUGUCGUUAGGUGCUGGGUAUUACGAAAAUACGAGAAUCCGUUCCCACCCCACUGAACCGAUUCUUGCAUGUGCCAAUGAGAAAAAGUUAAUAUUUUACACUGCCGAAAAUUUGGCUAUUCCGUUUUCCAAUUGGAGAAA